AGAUUGAACGCUGGCGGCAUGCCUUACACAUGCAAGUCGAACGGCAGCACGGGAGCAAUCCUGGUGGCGAGUGGCGAACGGGUGAGUAAUACAUCGGAACGUGCCCAGUAGUGGGGGAUAGCCCGGCGAAAGCCGGAUUAAUACCGCAUACGACCUGAGGGUGAAAGCAGGGGAUUCGCAAGAACCUUGCGCUAUUGGAGCGGCCGAUGUCAGAUUAGCUAGUUGGUGGGGUAAAGGCCUACCAAGGCUACGAUCUGUAGUUGGUCUGAGAGGACGACCAGCCACACUGGGACUGAGACACGGCCCAGACUCCUACGGGAGGCAGCAGUGGGAAUUUGGACAAUGGGGGCAACCCUGAUCCAGCAAUGCCGCGUGCAGGAAGAAGGCCUUCGGGUUAGUAAACGUGCGUUUUUGUACAGGAAGAAUCUUCUGGCUAAUACCGUCGGAGAGUGACGUACCUAGAA
This 464-nucleotide ribosomal RNA is filed under the name uncultured soil bacterium. RNAcentral describes it as "bacterial SSU rRNA". It matches the Rfam family "Bacterial small subunit ribosomal RNA", at positions 26 to 486 of the family's 1533-position model. The record is from RNAcentral.